This is a non-coding RNA of Pelobates cultripes (western spadefoot toad), 217 nucleotides long. NCBI's taxonomy places the organism in Eukaryota, Metazoa, Chordata, Amphibia, Anura, Pelobatidae. The record is from the annotation of a GenBank genome assembly.
GGGGUGACUAGUGACAGAGUUAGGGAGGGAGUGACUAGUGACAGAGUUAGGGAGGGAGUGACUAGUGACAGAGAGAGGGAUGGGGUGACUAGUGACAGUCACCCCCUCUCUCACUCUGUCACUAGUCACCCCCUCUCUCACUCUUUCACCAGUCAUCCCUUCCUUCCCUCACUCUGCCACUAAUCAUCCCUUCCCUCACUCUGUCACCAGUCACCCC